UCCUGUACCCGUAUAUAUGUGAAGGAAUGACGGAGAGAGGAAGCUGCAGCCAGCGGCUGGAAGAGCUGGUGCAAGCGAGAUAUCGGGAUGGCAGGCAAAUCCACCAUCCGAAACGAGAAGGCGUGAAGCGUACGGAAAGCUACGGCGAGUACGGAAGGCAGUGGAGGAACUUCCAAGAAAAGUUUCUAACGUUAAGUAUAUAUGGCCCGUACCGAAAAUGGACACACAUGGGUGAGGAGAGAAUCCUAAGGUGAGCGAGAGAACUAUAGCUAAGGAACUCUGCAAAAUGACUCCGUAACUUAGGGAGAAGGAGUGCUCAUAGAGAUAUGAGCCGCAGUGAAACGGCCCAAGCGACUGUUUACCAAAAACACAGCUCUCUGCUAAGCCGCAAGGCGAAGUAUAGGGGGUGACGCCUGCCCGGUGCUGGAAGGUUAAGGGGAGGGGUUAACGCAAGUGAAGCCCUGAACUGAAGCCCCAGUAAACGGCGGCCGUAACUAUAACGGUCCUAAGGUAGCGAAAUUCCUUGUCAGGUAAGUUCUGACCCGCACGAAAGGCGUAACGAUUUGGGCGCUGUCUCAGCUGUAGACUCGGUGAAGUCUUAGUACCUGUGAAGAUGCAGGUUACCCGCGACUAGACGGAAAGACCCCAUGGAGCUUCACUGCAGGUUGAUAUUGGGAUUUGAUGCAGCAUGUACAGGAUAGGUAGGAGGCAAAGAGAUGGAUACGCCAGUAUUCAAGGAGCCGCUGUUGGGAUACUACCCCUGUUGUAUUGGAUUUCUAACCGGACGACGUAGAGCCGUUGACGGGACAGUGUCAGUCGGGCAGUUUGACUGGGGCGGUCGCCUCCCAAAGAGUAACGGAGGCGCCCAAAGAUACCCUCAGCUUGGAUGGAAACCAAGCGCAGAGUGCAAAGGCAAAAGGGUGUUUGACUGCGAGACCUACAAGUCGAGCAGGGACGAAAGUCGGGCUUAGUGAUCCGGCGGUGCUGAAUGGAAAGGCCGUCGCUCAACGGAUAAAAGCUACCCUGGGGAUAACAGGCUGAUCUCCCCCAAGAGUUCACAUCGACGGGGAGGUUUGGCACCUCGAUGUCGGCUCAUCGCAUCCUGGAGCUGAAGUCGGUUCCAAGGGUUGGGCUGUUCGCCCAUUAAAGCGGUACGCGAGCUGGGUUCAGAACGU
RNAcentral lists this ribosomal RNA (1175 nucleotides) under Coprobacillus sp. OF03-2AA. Its description in RNAcentral is "partial 23S ribosomal RNA". It matches the Rfam family "Bacterial large subunit ribosomal RNA", at positions 1437 to 2619 of the family's 2925-position model. The record is from RNAcentral. Lineage: Bacteria; Bacillati; Bacillota; Erysipelotrichia; Erysipelotrichales; Coprobacillaceae.